Molecule: long non-coding RNA, 247 nt
Filed under: Hordeum vulgare
Lineage: Eukaryota; Viridiplantae; Streptophyta; Magnoliopsida; Poales; Poaceae
Description: long non-coding RNA (HVUL_LNC010826)
Source: RNAcentral
CUCCUCCUUCUUCUCCUCCUCCUCCUCCUUCUUCUUCUUCUUCUUCUUCUUCUUCUCCUUCUCCUCUUUCUUCUCUUGUUUCUUCUUAUCCUUAGCUUAUUUUCCCCAACAAAGACAUACUUAGCUAAUUAUCCUCUAAAAUGACAUAAUUAGCUAAUUUAGCUCCAAAAUGACAUAAUUAGCUAGUUUAGCUCCAAAAUGACAUAACUAGGUUAGGUAGGUAAAAAACAUCACAAGAACCUUGGUU